RNAcentral lists this ribosomal RNA (422 nucleotides) under uncultured bacterium. RNAcentral describes it as "partial 16S ribosomal RNA". It matches the Rfam family "Bacterial small subunit ribosomal RNA", at positions 355 to 774 of the family's 1533-position model. The record is from RNAcentral.
UGAGGAAUAUUGGUCAAUGGGUGCAAGCCUGAACCAGCCAUCCCGCGUGAAGGACGACUGCCCUAUGGGUUGUAAACUUCUUUUGUAUAGGGAUAAACCUACCCUCGUGAGGGUAGCUGAAGGUACUAUACGAAUAAGCACCGGCUAACUCCGUGCCAGCAGCCGCGGUAAUACGGAGGGUGCAAGCGUUAUCCGGAUUUAUUGGGUUUAAAGGGUCCGUAGGCGGACUUAUAAGUCAGUGGUGAAAGCCUGUCGCUUAACGAUAGAACUGACAUUGAUACUGUAAGUCUUGAGUAUAUUUGAGGUAGCUGGAAUAAGUAGUGUAGCGGUGAAAUGCAUAGAUAUUACUUAGAACACCAAUUGCGAAGGCAGGUUACCAAGAUAUAACUGACGCUGAGGGACGAAAGCGUGGGGAGCGAACA